AGACUUCUUGCUCCUGCAACAAGUGUAUGUGUGUAGAGCAGAUCACAGGGGAAGGUAGAAACAAAUGCCCAAUAUAAAUAGGCAUUCAGCAGAAGAGGACACCGAUGCAGAGAAAAGAGAACUUCCCUUCAUGAUGCUAUGCAAUCCCCAGGAGAAGCACGUUGAAAGCUGAGAAUCCUUCUUGGCACUGGGAAUACAGAGGUGAUGGGCAGGAAAAUUCCCUGAUUUUAUAGAGCUUAAAUUCUUGUAGGAGAGACAGACAAUAACAAAAGAAGACUGACUGAGAUGUGUUGGCGGGCUUCUCAAGAUCCCUAUCGAUGGCAGAAUGCUGACAUGAGUUGCCCAUAGUCCAGGUUUCCCAAUGUAGCAGAUGACUCUAGCGGCUCCAGCUUCAGCAUCAUCUUAAGUUCAAGUGAAAAGGAAAAGAGAAUCUCUUUUUCUUCAAACAAUUUCAAACUAAAAUCUUGAGUCUGACUUUUCCUGGCCAGAAUUAAGCUUGUACUUAUCCCUGAAAAAUCAUCAAUGCUACAGUGAUGAAUUUACCAAUUGAGGCAGAAUUUAGGUCACAUGACGCUCCAAAGCCUCUUCAAAACCGCAUGACUCAGAGUGAGGCAGAAGUAUUUGGGAUAUUUGCAACAGGAGAAGGGUAAAUGAAUGGAGAGUGCCAAAACAACUUAUGUCAAUUAUACAAUUAUAAAUACAACCAAAAUAAAGUAUGGAAAUCAGUAUUUUCACCUAUCUUAACAGAGUGAAAGAUUUAUUCUGUUGAAUAUUUGCCAUAUUUCACUUUCCACAUUCAGCACUCUGCAAUAUUUAAAGAAGAAAAUAAGUCUCCAUAUACUGAAUAAAGACAUAUCAAAAUUUGUGUGACAUCAUAUUCCUUAGUUACAUUUUUUGUUCAUUCAUUUGUGUGUUUGUUUAUGUCACCCACACUAGAUCAUGGUGGUGUGAACAUGGUUCACUACAGCCUCAACAUCCUGGGCCCAAGCAAUCCUCCCACCUCAGCCUCCUGUGUAGCUAAGACCACAGGUGGGCACCACCAUGCCCAGCUACCUUUUAAUUUUUUGUAGAUAUGGGGGUCUCACUUUGUUGCCCAGGCUGGUCUCGAACUCCUGGGCUCAAGCUAUCCCCACAACACUUUGGUUUGGCCUCCCAAAGUGUCGGGAUUACAGGUGCGAGCCAGUGCACUCAGCCUUACAUUUUUUAAUAAAUGAAUUUAAACAAAGAAUAGAAACAUAUUUUUAAACACACCAAUUAACAAACCAAAGUGUAUUGCAAAUUAUUGGAAGGGACAGCAGAGUGAAAAAAUGUUAUCCCACCUGCAGGAGGUGGAAAAGGUGAUAAUAUGAAACAAAUAUUUCCACCUAUCCUAAUAGAGUAAAAGAUUUAUUCUGCUGGAUAUUUUCUGUAUUUUACCUACCUUCCACAUUCAGCACUCUGCACUCUCUUGCCCAACUAUUCCUUUUAAUUUUCCCAUAAUACAACUUUUUAAUAUUUUAUGUAAUAUAUGUAUUUAUUUCUUUCUUUUACUAACUGUGUUUCCUACUGGAAUGUAAGCUUCAAAAAUUCAGAGAUCUUUGUCCUUGUUGCUGAUAUAGCCUACUGUCUAAAAAAAACUUCAGAUAUUUAAUUUUUUUAACUUUUAAGUUCAGGGGUACAAGUGCAAGUUUGUUACAUAGAUAAACAUGUGUCAUGGGGGUUUCUUGUGCAUAUCAUUUAAUCACUCAGGUAUUAAGCUUAGUACCCAUUAGUUAUUUUUUUCUGAUCUUCUCUCUCCUCCUAUCCUUCACUCUUCAAUAGGCCCCAGUGUGUGUUAUUCUCCUCUAUGGGUCCAUAUGUUCUCAUCAUUUAGCUCCCACUUAUAAGUGAGAGCAUGCAGUGUUUGGUUUUCUGUUUCUGUCAGUUUGCUAGGGAUAAUGGCCUCCAGCUCCAACCAUGUUCCUGCAAAGGACAUGAUCUCAUUUUUUUUAUGGCUGCAUGGUAGUCCAUGGUGUAUAUAUACCACAUUUUCUUUAUCCAGUCUAUCAUUGAUGGGCAUUUAUAUUGAUUUCAUGUCUUUGAGAUUGUAAAUAGUGCUGCAGUGAACAUAUGUGUGUAUGUGUCUUUAUAAUAUAAUGAUUUAUGUUCCUUUGGGUAUAUACCCAGCAAUGGGAUUGCUGGGUCAAAUGGUUUUUCUGUCUUUAGGUCUUUGAGGAAUUGCCACACUGUCUUCCACCAUCUUUAUUUCUGCCUUCGUUUCGUUAUGUACCAGUAGUCAUUCAGGAGCAGGUUAUUCAGUUUCCAUGUAGUUGAUCAGUUUUGAGUGAGUUUCUUAAUCCUGAGUUCUAGUUUGAUUGCACUGUGGU
RNAcentral lists this long non-coding RNA (2345 nucleotides) under Homo sapiens (human). Its description in RNAcentral is "non-protein coding lnc-CD109-3:6". Lineage: Eukaryota; Metazoa; Chordata; Mammalia; Primates; Hominidae. The record is from RNAcentral.